This 429-nucleotide ribosomal RNA is filed under the name Pseudomonadota bacterium. RNAcentral describes it as "Proteobacteria bacterium partial 16S ribosomal RNA". It matches the Rfam family "Bacterial small subunit ribosomal RNA", at positions 355 to 776 of the family's 1533-position model. The record is from RNAcentral. Lineage: Bacteria; Pseudomonadati; Pseudomonadota.
UGGGGAAUAUUGGACAAUGGGCGAAAGCCUGAUCCAGCCAUGCCGCGUGUGUGAAGAAGGUCUUCGGAUUGUAAAGCACUUUAAGUUGGGAGGAAGGGCAGUAAGCGAAUACCUUGCUGUUUUGACGUUACCGACAGAAUAAGCACCGGCUAACUCUGUGCCAGCAGCCGCGGUAAUACAGAGGGUGCAAGCGUUAAUCGGAAUUACUGGGCGUAAAGCGCGCGUAGGUGGUUCGUUAAGUUGAAUGUGAAAGCCCCGGGCUCAACCUGGUAACUGCACCCAAAACUGGCGAGCUAGAGUAGGGCAGAUGGUGGUGGAAUUUCCUGUGUAGCGGUGAAAUGCGUAGAUAUAGGAAGGAACACCAGUGGCGAAGGCGAACACCUGGGCUCAUACUGACACUGAGGUGCGAAAGCGUGGGGAGCAAACAGG